UUGUUUAGUUAGAAACCGACGAUGGGAAGAAGACACGACGGAGAUCGGCAACUCGCCGGAGAAGAGAAAAGACUCGAUUAGGGUUUACUAGAACAAGACGGCGAAGAAGAACGGAGAAGACAACAGAGGAGAAGAAGAACAGCAGACGGAGAAGAGGAGGUCCGCCGGAGAAGAAGACAUGGCGCCGGAGACGCGAGAGAAAACGAGAGAGAAAAUUUUUGUAGGGUUUGUCUGGAGGCGGCUUGGUUUGAGCUGUGCUCAAACUGGCUUCGCUUUGCUCAAACUGGCUUCGCUUUGCUCAAACUGGCUUCGCUUUGUAUAUAUAGAAAUAAAUUGCCUCGCAAAUCCGUCGCAACGUUUGCGAGGAACCGACUCACUAACCAAUAGGAUCGCUUCAUUCUUUCGACACAAGUGCGAGGACCCUCGCAAAGUCCUCGCAAAAUUAGAAUUAGGGUUUUCUGGAUUACUAUGCGAAGGAAUUGUGAGGACCCUCACAAAUGCCUCGCAAAAUUAGGGUUACACAAUUAGGGUUUCGCGGCUUAUUCUGCAACAGAAGUGCGAGGACCCUCGCAAAUUCCUCGCAAAAUUAGAAUUAGGGUUUGUCUGGAUUACAGUGCGAGGGAAUUACGGGGACCCUCGCUAAUUCCUCGCAAAAUUGGGGUUACAUAAUUAGGGUUUUGCGGCUUACUCUGUGAGGGAAUUGCGAGCGGUUGUUGUAAAUCCCUCGCAAAUUGCGACCACUUUGCAAGGAAUGCUCGAUUAGGGUCUACGAGUGAAUUGCGAGAUAUAGUCGUAAGUCCCUCGCAAAUUGCUAUGGAUUUGCUAGGAUUAUGUUUUAAAAUAAAAUAAAAUAGAGAUAUUAUGAAAAUAAUAACUUUAAAAUGCAAAAUUAUAAGUAUAAACUUUAAAAUUAGGAAAUUAUAACUUUCAAUUUUUAAAAUCAUUU
RNAcentral lists this small RNA (946 nucleotides) under Arabidopsis thaliana (thale cress). RNAcentral's name for it is "ATSL030750". The record is from RNAcentral. Lineage: Eukaryota; Viridiplantae; Streptophyta; Magnoliopsida; Brassicales; Brassicaceae.